AUGUAUCACCCGUAAGGUGCGGUUGCUCCGUGCCGUGCGCACUCACCCGGCGACUGCUCGCUACGGUUUGUUGGUC
This 76-nucleotide small RNA is filed under the name Xanthomonas fragariae. Its description in RNAcentral is "sX9 sRNA". It matches the Rfam family "Xanthomonas sRNA sX9". Lineage: Bacteria; Pseudomonadati; Pseudomonadota; Gammaproteobacteria; Lysobacterales; Lysobacteraceae. The record is from RNAcentral.